GUCUCAGUUCGGACUGUGGUCUGCAACCCGACCACACGAAGCUGGAAUCGCUAGUAAUCGCGAAUCAGAAUGUCGCGGUGAAUACGUUCCCGGGUCUUGUACACACCGCCCGUCACACCAUGGGAGUCAGCAACGCCCGAAGUCAGUGACCUAACCGAAAGGGAGGAGCUGCCGAAGGCGGGGCCGGUAACUGGGGUGAAGUCGUAACAAGGUACC
Molecule: ribosomal RNA, 216 nt
Filed under: uncultured bacterium
Lineage: Bacteria
Description: partial 16S ribosomal RNA
Rfam family: Bacterial small subunit ribosomal RNA
Source: RNAcentral